CCGCGGGGCCCUCUCUUUCCUCUUCCUCCCUGGUCUUCCCUUUUGCUCCUUCUUUCCCUCCCUCGUCUUGUGAAAGCCCCCGGCUCAACCGGGGAACAGCGGGGCGAACUUCGGGUCUUGAGGCAGGUAGGGGCGGAUGGAACUGUCGGCGGAGCGGUGGAAUGCGUAGAUAUCGACAGGAACGCCGAUGGCGAAGGCAGUCCGCUGGGCCUGUCCUGACGCUCAGGCACGAAAGCGUGGGGAGCAAACAG
Molecule: ribosomal RNA, 251 nt
Filed under: uncultured prokaryote
Description: partial 16S ribosomal RNA
Rfam family: Bacterial small subunit ribosomal RNA (bases 43-251)
Source: RNAcentral